AUGAACGAAUUAAUGGGAGGUAGCUGUCUCCAGGGGUAUUAGUACUAAAUUAGUAAGUAAGUGAAAAUACUUACGGGAAGAAAAUAGACGAGAGAACCCUAGAAGCUUGCUAUUUGUUUUGUUGGGGCGACAGAAUUGCAUUAAAACCAAUUUUAUAGAUGUGACGUAUAGCAGGAAAAAUAAGCUACUCUAGGGAUAACAGCAUAAUUAAAAUUUGUUUGUGACCUCGAUGUUGGACUAGGUAGAAUAGUCCUUAGAAGGGACUAAAAAUGCUCUGUUCGAGCAGCUUAACCUACA
RNAcentral lists this ribosomal RNA (297 nucleotides) under Cepaea nemoralis (banded wood snail). Its description in RNAcentral is "partial 16S ribosomal RNA". Lineage: Eukaryota; Metazoa; Mollusca; Gastropoda; Stylommatophora; Helicidae. The record is from RNAcentral.